Long non-coding RNA from Cyprinus carpio carpio, 2455 nucleotides. NCBI's taxonomy places the organism in Eukaryota, Metazoa, Chordata, Actinopteri, Cypriniformes, Cyprinidae. The record is from Ensembl.
ACAAGACUGUUACAGUUAAUUUCAAGGCAAGCAUAUUGUCUCUUGGAGGCUGGUGAGCGGGUCAUAAAUUAUCCUGAAGGUGAAGGAGAACUCGAGGGAAACAGUUAUGAAAAUUUCAUCAAUCUCAGCCGCACACCACAGCUGGUCCUGUCAGCGGCCGCAUUGUGGAGGAGCAGCGCUGGGUGGAGGGUCAAAGCUGGGGAGCGGCGAGGGCCGAGGGGGGCCUGUCACAUCCUGCUACUGCUCUCUGUCACAGAGCGAACUCACACACUGGCUAUUAUUGUAGCGCUGGGCAGAGAUCCACACAGGCAAUCUUCAGCCUGUCCUACUCUAUUAAUUUACUUAAAGCAUGCUCUGUGGUCAAGACCUCUUCCUUUCAUCAGCUUGUGUGAACGUGUGUGUGUGUGUGUGUGUGUGUGGGAGAUCAUUACCAGCUUUAGUACUCACUUUGUGCUAUGUCAUACUUUAGCACAAAGCUUCUGUGUGAGAUUAUAAAUGUCUGUUUGUGGUGGUAAGAAAGGUCAUGAGAGAGAGAGAUAAGAGAGAGUUGUCUAAUAGAGAUCUUUGAAUAAAUAAAUCUCCUGCGUGCUCUGAGAUCAGCACACAAACUGAGAGAGACACUAUGAUGAGCUAAUGUUAGCUGGACAUCAUAUUACUUUUUGACACUUUUUAAUGAUGAAAAAAGGAAAACAUAGAGUAUAGGAUUGAGGAAUGUUGCAAGCCAGACUCAAACCUGCAUUGCCCACAUGAAAAACACAUGGAUUCGCUACAGGAGUCACAUUUUAUUAUGGAUACGCACACUUUAUUUGACGACUUGUGGACUGUUCAACUGCAACACCCGCUGACUGCAAUAAUAGAGCUUGGAAUAGCCAGGACAAUUUUUUAUAUAACUCCGACUGGAUUCAUCUGAAGAAGAAAGUUUUAUACACUUAGGAUGCCUCGAGGUCAUACAUCAGCGUUCGUGCUCGUCCUCUCGCUGCAGCCACAGACGGACACUGAGGUGUGUGAGCGGCUCGUCUCAUCAGGUGUGAACACCGUCUUCCAUCCCUCAAUCUGUCAAUUAGUGCGGCUGCAGAUCAGAGGAGAGGGAGUGUGGGCCUUUGAUAGUGGGCAGAACGGCCCGUCACACAAGAGAACAGGGCGGAACAGAGCUGACAAGGCUUUUUUUUACUUGUCUUCCUCUUUUGUGAGGGAUUUUUUUGAAAGUUCUAGAAUGUUUUAGUAUAAAACAUGUUUAGGGUAGUGAAUAUCUUUUACAUUAACCUGACAGGCUAAUUACAGUACGUAACCUGUUCUCUCAUUUCAGACUUCCUGAUUGUCAUUGUCUAACAUAGUGAAGUGUCUCUCAGUAAAAGCUAUCUGCACUGUGUUCCAAAUUAUUAUGCAAGUGACAUAUCAAUAGGAUUUCGGUACAAUAAAGACCCAGAUUUUUGUUUGUGUUGUUUUUCACAUCUUUUUAGAUAACUGGUAUCAAUCUCAGACAGGUUUGGUCAAUAGUUUGCCAGGUCUUCUUAGAUAAAUGGAAACCCUACUUAAAGAGGUUGUUCCACAGGUUGUUAUCUAAAAAGAUGUAAAAAACAACACAAACAAAAAUCUGACUCAUUAUGGCACCGAAAUCCUAUUGAUAUGCCACUUGCAUAAUAAUUUGGAACGCAGGGUAUAAGAUACCCAUGUGUGAUGUGUGAUUUGGCGAAUGACCUUCUGUGUUUGGGGCUCCGUCUGGGUCUUAGCGAAAGCCGUCUCCUCCAUAAGACUGGCACGUUUUGGCACCUCGGACAGACGCAUAAACAGAUGCAGUCUCUGUUAGUAAUGACAGGUGAUUAUAUGUGGCAGCAGUGCCAAGGCAAUUAAACGGCGGGCUGACGGCACCAUUUGGCAUGCUGUUAUCCUAGCGUUAAGGCUAAUUGUGGCAGCAAUUUCACUCCUGCCAGGACACUGCUUCGAACAUCGUUAAUUUUACACCAAUACAUGUCGUCUGGAGGUGAAUGCUGGCUCUCUGAGGCUUCCUCAAUUCAGGGUGGGAUCAGACACGGUGAAGUAAUUACCCAGCAUUUCAUGAUUAUAAUCAGUCUAACUGUUCUCUGUGGCGAUGUUCCUCUUCGCGUUUCUCUUCUUUCUAAGGCCACUGCUCAAAUUUGCAAGGCAGUUUGAAAAUAUUGGAACACUAUUGGAGGUUUGAGGUAUAUGAAUGUCAGGGUUAAGUUCAAAUCGAUUCCAAACAGACAUCAUUAUACACUGGAGAAUGAAGACCUUCAACCUUCAUCUGGACAAACAAUCAUUCAGUGGAAAAAACACGUGUCACACGUGAUGUCCCUCAGAAUUUUGAGCCAAUUGGAUUUAUUUAGUAUAAAAAAAAAAAAAACAUUUUAAACCUGGUAAAACUGUUUUCAUUUCAUUUCAACUUAUAGAACUACACCCUUGUUAAAAAAAAGUGUGCUUUAUUUUAUUGAAUGUC